This is a long non-coding RNA of Gallus gallus (chicken), 2110 nucleotides long. Lineage: Eukaryota; Metazoa; Chordata; Aves; Galliformes; Phasianidae. The record is from Ensembl.
GGCUUAUGGGGAGAGUCUGAAGGAACUGGAAUUGUUCAGUUUGGAGAAGAGGAGACUUGGGGGAGACCUUGUUGCUCUCUACAGUUCCCUGAAAGGAAGUUGGGACAAGAUGGGAGUUGGCCUUUUCUCUCAGCCUGUUGGGGAUGUUUAGAAUGCAAAGAAGCACAAAGUUACAUAAAGGCUCCUCCCAGUGGAUUUAGGGUGUAUACUGAAGCUGGAGUGAGGAAGUUUGAGGCCAUGACUGUGAAUUCUGCAGGCUCUCCCUGUUAACUACCUUUAGCUUACAGAUCGAGUGUGUGAGAAACAUAGCUGUAGCACUACAUACUUCUCAUCCCAUGCACUUCUUCCCUAAAAAUCGGAGUCACCAGCUACUUGCCAAAAGGAAUACUCACCUGGGUGCAGGUAUAACUCACUGUAUGAACUGCUCAUAGGGCUGAUCUUAAAGCUGCAUCCAAGAAUGCAAAUAGUGUCUCUUUGCCUUAUGUUGUGAAAUAUCCUGUGUGAGCACUUGAUUAGAUUUUCUCUCCUUGGAUGUAAUUCAUCAGUGUUACCUUGAUUCAAAUAAUUCUUGUACUGUGCUGUUGAAACCAGUUCCAGAAAUAAUGUGAUGGUGUUUAUAGGUUCCUGAAGAAAGUAUUGUAUGGCUACAGAUGAUUAAUAAUGUGUAUCAGUUAUAACUGUAUAGGGACUAUUAUCUAGUAACUAGCUGAGCCAGUGAUCUAUCAAUUAAGAGUUUUCAGGAAUUACAAAUUUAUGUAGUCAGAUUACGGUUAUCUGUGGUUUGUUAAAUGAUGAUUAAUUGAAACUCAGGGACUGAGUUUAUGAUUACGAUGACUCUUCAAUACACGACAGAAAAGAAAUAAGCAAUACGGUGCAUGAGAAAUUGAGAGAGAGCAUUUAAUGAGGUUGCAAUUUAGUGAGGUUACCAUGCAAGCUUUACCUGCAUAUUCUGGGGGUAUGGUUACCUUCUUAUCAUUAUGGUUAUAAUUUUCAAGACAUAUUGGAAAAUGUACUUAUUUGUUUGGGGCCUUGACCCCCAGAAUAUAUGAGUCUAAGUUGAGAAGGAGAGGGUUGAUCUUGGACUUGAUCCUUGUGAGUUCUUUCCAACUCAAUAUAUUCUGUGAUUCUGUGAUUACACAUGUAGGUUUCAGUAGAAUAGUUCCUUUCUCUCCCUGGAUUACUUUCUCUGCAGAUUGGUUAUAUCACUGAGCCAGGUCAGCUCUUUCUUCGUCUUUAGGUGGAGCCAAGAGACCACUAAGACAUUACAAAUUUUGUAGUUUGGCUGUUAUCUAUAGAACAUGAUUAAAUAAUGAUAUCAUUAUCUUCAGUGGCAAUGCUUGUAGAAAUGAAGCAAGAGUAUUAUCAGCUGUAGUCAGUGACUAUGAUAGAGAGUUGAUAUGGGAUAUAUCAGAUUAAUGAAUAAAAAGCAGGGGGAAUCAGAUUAUAUAUCUGCAUCUGCAGUUUUCCAUUCACUGCUUGUAAUCACAACACACUUUACUUAAUUUUGCAUAUGACCUCCCUUAUAAGCUCUCCUUAGCAACUGGCAGUAUGAAUAGGAUAGAGACCUCUUUGUUCUCCUGUGUUAGAGCUUUACUGAGUAUUUGCAGGUAAAAUUGUUAUCUGUAAAGUUGCCAAUUUAUUUUGGGAUAGCACAAUGAACAAUAUCCCUGCAAAGCCUUUUGAGAAGCUGCAUGAAUAUAAUGAAUGAUGUAUUGCUGUGAAAGAGAGAAGAUAGCUGAUGCUGCAAUCUUUUCAUGUGUGAUGUUGCCAAACUUUCAUUGUUCUGCAGCUGCCUCCCUACAGUGACCCAAGGCUGAGGAAUUACAGUGGCAGCAAAGGAAAAAGCAAACCAUUCACAAACUUCCUGUGAAAAAAUGCAUGCAAAAAAGUGGAGAAUAAAAUCCCCUGCUAAACCCAUUAUGAAAAAUAUCUAUCUGAAUUUUAAUUCCUGUUUUUUGAUCAUGGCUUUUGGAUCAGCCAUAUGAAGGUCAACCUCCUCAAAAACGCUCUGAAGAAGUCAAGUUACCCUAAAAUUCCUCCUUCACUCUUGCUUUCCUUUGUAAAGUAAAUAAAUCAUCACAUUCAUUUCUGGCACUGAGCUUUUUUUUAG